UGGACGCAUCACGUCAUGGGUUAUCCGCUGUAACGGCGGAUCGAAGAGGGAAGCAGGUGCGACACCUGCGCUGCCCCCGCAACUGUGACCGGGGAGGGCGCUUCCACUAUGCCACUGCCGCGCUUUCGGGCGCAGCGGGAAGGCGGAAGCGGCCCGGCGAUCCGGGAGCCAGGAGACCUGCCCGUGUACGGCUGUUCGG
RNAcentral lists this non-coding RNA (199 nucleotides) under Aurantiacibacter gangjinensis. The record is from RNAcentral. Lineage: Bacteria; Pseudomonadati; Pseudomonadota; Alphaproteobacteria; Sphingomonadales; Erythrobacteraceae.